AAAGAGUUUGAAUCUGAAAGAAAGAAACAAAGAAAGAGACACUUUAUAACAAUAUACUUGGUCAGAAACAUCCUAACCAGAGGUCUUGGAGCAUAAUGGAAGGAAUCAACUGAGUUGGAGUGAGACAAUGCAGUGGAGGAGGAUUGAGAUUCAUAAAUAGCCAAAAUGGAUAGAAUGCUCACAAGAUGGGAAAAGAUUGUCAGAAAACAGGAGAGCUUUAAGUGUAUGCCGAAAAAGAGUCAUCAGUAAAGCAUGAACAAAACGAUGCCCAACAAAUGAGAGGAAUCAAGAUUUUCAAGAUUUUCCUUAUGGUGGGCUUUGUUUACCUUCAAUUUGUCAGGAAUAAAUAUAAAAAGAACAAUUACAUAUUUUUGUCACACAGCCAAAAAGUAGAGGUAACUCCACUUUGCAUGAUUUAUGAAGAUAUUUUAUUUGUUUUAUUUCAAACAAGAGCUUUCUUUCCAAGGAGAUUUUAACUUAAGUAUUACAGUAAUAAUGAUGAUAAUAAUGAUAAUCAUACCUUUCAUUUAUAACACCUUUUCCUCCCCAAACAAUUUCAUUUAUGCUGUCUCAUUUCAUCCUCAUAACCCUGUGAGUGAAGUAAGGCUUAUUUCCCCUGCUCAUUUUACAAAUAGAUAUACUAAAGUACAAAAAAGG
Long non-coding RNA from Sarcophilus harrisii (Tasmanian devil), 657 nucleotides. RefSeq lists it as uncharacterized. Lineage: Eukaryota; Metazoa; Chordata; Mammalia; Dasyuromorphia; Dasyuridae. The record is from RefSeq and is a predicted model, not a curated record. The transcript is spliced from 3 exons.